CCCUGGGGACGUAAACUCCUUUCGACCCGGACGAUAAUGACGGUACGGGUGGAAGAAGCCCCGGCUAACUACGUGCCAGCAGCCGCGGUAAUACGUAGGGGGCGAGCGUUGUCCGGAGUUACUGGGCGUAAAGGGCACGCAGGCGGUCGUACGCGUUUCGGGUGACAGCGGGUGGCUUAACUGCCCGAGUGUUCGAAAGACGGUACGACUUGAGGGCUCGAGAGGGACACGGAAUUCCGGGUGGAGUGGUGAAAUGCGUAGAGAUCCGGAGGAACACCGAAGGCGAAGGCAGUGUCCUGGCGAGUGACUGACGCUGAGGUGCGAAAGCUAGGGGAGCGAACGGGAUUAGAUACCCCGGUAGUCCUAGCCGUAAACCAUCAGGACUUGGGGUGGCCCGCGUAGGCGGGUCGUCCCGUAGCUAACGCGUUAAGUCCUGCGCCUGGGGAGUACGGUCGCAAGACUGAAACUCAAAGGAAUUGACG
RNAcentral lists this ribosomal RNA (482 nucleotides) under uncultured bacterium. RNAcentral describes it as "SSU rRNA". It matches the Rfam family "Bacterial small subunit ribosomal RNA", at positions 415 to 915 of the family's 1533-position model. The record is from RNAcentral.